ACGGGUGAGUAACGCGUGGUCAACCUUCCCUACAGUGGGGAUAACUAGCCGAAAGGUUAGCUAAUACCGCAUGACAUCUUUGAGAGGCAUCUUUUAAAGAUAAAAGGAGCAAUCCGCUGAAGGACGGGACCGCGUCCCAUUAGCUAGUUGGUGGGGUAAUGGCCUACCAAGGCAACGAUGGGUAGCUGGUUUGAGAGAGCGACCAGCCACACUGGGACUGAGACACGGCCCAG
This 233-nucleotide ribosomal RNA is filed under the name uncultured bacterium. RNAcentral describes it as "partial 16S ribosomal RNA". It matches the Rfam family "Bacterial small subunit ribosomal RNA", at positions 102 to 334 of the family's 1533-position model. The record is from RNAcentral.